RNAcentral lists this ribosomal RNA (483 nucleotides) under uncultured microorganism. Its description in RNAcentral is "bacterial SSU rRNA". It matches the Rfam family "Bacterial small subunit ribosomal RNA", at positions 9 to 490 of the family's 1533-position model. The record is from RNAcentral.
GAGUUUGAUCCUGGCUCAGAUUGAACGCUGGCGGCAUGCCUUACACAUGCAAGUCGAACGGUAACAGGUCUUCGGAUGCUGACGAGUGGCGAACGGGUGAGUAAUACAUCGGAACGUGCCCAGACGUGGGGGGAUAACGAGGCGAAAGCUUUGCUAAUACCGCAUACGAUCUAAGGAUGAAAGCAGGGGACCGCAAGGCCUUGCGCGUUUGGAGCGGCCGAUGGCAGAUUAGGUAGUUGGUGGGAUAAAAGCUUACCAAGCCGACGAUCUGUAGCCGGUCUGAGAGGACGACCAGCCACACUGGGACUGAGACACGGCCCAGACUCCUACGGGAGGCAGCAGUGGGGAAUUUUGGACAAUGGACGAAAGCCUGAUCCAGCAAUGCCGCGUGCAGGAUGAAGGCCUCGGUUGUAACUGUCUUUGUACGGUAACGAAAGGACUCUGGCUACUACCUGGGCGACAUGACGGUACCGUAAGAAUAAG